This 243-nucleotide unclassified non-coding RNA is filed under the name Hevea brasiliensis (rubber tree). The record is from RNAcentral. Lineage: Eukaryota; Viridiplantae; Streptophyta; Magnoliopsida; Malpighiales; Euphorbiaceae.
GCGAACUACAACCGGAAUGGUGAUUGCAACUUUGGUCUACUUGAAUCGGGUUGGAGCUUCUGGUAUCGCAAGGACAAAUUCAAUUGGAAAAGUUUCUGACUGCAGUGCCAAUGUAGAUGACAAUUUGCCUAACUCAGACGAAGCAAUUCGUAGAGGAGAGUAUGCAGUUAUAAGAAGCUUGACUCGGGUACUGGAGGGUGGUGCUGAAGGCAAACGACAAGUGGAUGAAGUCAUAGAUAAAUG